UACGUAGGGGGCAAGCGUUAUCCGGAAUUAUUGGGCGUAAAGAGUGCGUAGGUGGUUACCUAAGCGCAAGGUUUAAUCUUGAGGCUCAACCUCAUUCUGCCUUGCGAACUGGGCUACUUGAGUGCUGGAGGGGAAAGCGGAAUUCCCAGUGUAGCGGUGAAAUGCGUAGAUAUUGGGAAGAACACCGGUGGCGAAGGCGGCUUUCUGGACAGCAACUGACACUGAGGCACGAAAGCGUGGGGAGCAAACAGGAUUAGAUACCCUGGUAGUCCCU
Molecule: ribosomal RNA, 274 nt
Filed under: uncultured prokaryote
Description: partial 16S ribosomal RNA
Rfam family: Bacterial small subunit ribosomal RNA
Source: RNAcentral